RNAcentral lists this unclassified non-coding RNA (279 nucleotides) under plant metagenome. Its description in RNAcentral is "partial contains small subunit ribosomal RNA, internal transcribed spacer 1, and 5.8S ribosomal RNA". The record is from RNAcentral.
UUUCCGUAGGUGAACCAGCGGAAGGAUCAUUAUUGAAUUACCGAGCUCCGAGCGCUUUUGCUCAUACGAAAGGGUUGCUUCGCCCGAUUGCCCCGGGGCACACCCAACCCACCCCUGCGCCCACCACCGGGGCGGUCCCCAUCUGUCUUGUUCCCGAGGCUGCUUACGUUUUCACGCAUCCUUUGGUUGCUUUGUAAAUUGUAUAAUUUGUUUAUCCAAUCACCUAUUCAAUACAGCUUUCAACAACGGAUCACUUGGUUCUCACAGCGAUGAAGAACA